AGAAAGGAAUUCCACGUGUAGCGGUGAAAUGCGUAGAGAUGUGGAGGAACACCAGUGGCGAAGGCGACUCUCUGGUCUGUAACUGACGCUGAGGAGCGAAAGCGUGGGGAGCGAACAGGAUUAGAUACCCUGGUAGUCCACGCCGUAAACGAUGAGUGCUAAGUGUUAGGGGGUUUCCGCCCCUUAGUGCUGCAGCUAACGCAUUAAGCACUCCGCCUGGGGAGUACGGUCGCAAGACUGAAACUCAAAGGAAUUGACGGGGGCCCGCACAAGCGGUGGAGCAUGUGGUUUAAUUCGAAGCAACGCGAAGAACCUUACCAGGUCUUGACAUCCUCUGACAAUCCUAGAGAUAGGACGUCCCCUUCGGGGGCAGAGUGACAGGUGGUGCAUGGUUGUCGUCAGCUCGUGUCGUGAGAUGUUGGGUUAAGUCCCGCAACGAGCGCAACCCUUGAUCUUAGUUGCCAGCAUUCAGUUGGGCACUCUAAGGUGACUGCCGGUGACAAACCGGAGGAAGGUGGGGAUGACGUCAAAUCAUCAUGCCCCUUAUGACCUGGGCUACACACGUGCUACAAUGGACAGAACAAAGGGCAGCGAAACCGCGAGGUUAAGCCAAUCCCACAAAUCUGUUCUCAGUUCGGAUCGCAGUCUGCAACUCGACUGCGUGAAGCUGGAAUCGCUAGUAAUCGCGGAUCAGCAUGCCCGGUGGAAUACCUUUCCCGGGGCCUUGUACACACCGGCCCGUCACA
This 746-nucleotide ribosomal RNA is filed under the name uncultured Bacillus sp. RNAcentral's name for it is "bacterial SSU rRNA". It matches the Rfam family "Bacterial small subunit ribosomal RNA", at positions 658 to 1401 of the family's 1533-position model. The record is from RNAcentral. Lineage: Bacteria; Bacillati; Bacillota; Bacilli; Caryophanales; Bacillaceae.